Molecule: long non-coding RNA, 373 nt
Organism: Phyllostomus hastatus (greater spear-nosed bat)
Lineage: Eukaryota; Metazoa; Chordata; Mammalia; Chiroptera; Phyllostomidae
Exons: 3
Source: RefSeq, a predicted model, not a curated record
UUUGGAGUAGCCACGGGCAAGGAGAAUGAGAAAGCAUUUGGAGUAGCCAGAAUAGAAGCCGUGGCUUGGAGCCAAACUCUGAUUUCAGGGGGAGCAGACCUCAGGGCUACAUACAGUGACGGAGAGGAUGGGGUCCUUGGUUCUGCAAGAGUACAAGAGGGGUGUGUACAGGCCAGUUGCCCUGGUUGGACUCACUGGCUCUAGGGACCAACACCUGCCACUGGAGCUGCUCUUGUUCUGUUCCUUCUUUAUUGUUAUAUCUACCAGAACCUACAAAACUGGCAGGUGAACUUGUUGGCUUGCGACUCUGGUAAAAUCUUAGACUCUUCACAGCUUUUGACAAUUGGAAGCAGAUUAUUUUGCUGAAGAUAAU